RNAcentral lists this ribosomal RNA (205 nucleotides) under uncultured bacterium. RNAcentral's name for it is "partial 16S ribosomal RNA". It matches the Rfam family "Bacterial small subunit ribosomal RNA", at positions 568 to 773 of the family's 1533-position model. The record is from RNAcentral.
CGCGUAGGCGGGAUGGCAAGUCGGUCGUGAAAUCCUUCGGCUCAACCGAAGAACGUCGGCCGAUACUGCCGUUCUUGAGGGAUGCAGAGGAGAUUGGAAUUCCCGGUGUAGCGGUGAAAUGUGUAGAGAUCGGGAGGAACACCGGUGGCGAAGGCGGGUCUCUGGGCAUCUCCUGACGCUGAGGCGCGAAAGCGUGGGAGCAAAC